This 2903-nucleotide ribosomal RNA is filed under the name Escherichia coli. RNAcentral describes it as "23S ribosomal RNA". It matches the Rfam family "Bacterial large subunit ribosomal RNA". Lineage: Bacteria; Pseudomonadati; Pseudomonadota; Gammaproteobacteria; Enterobacterales; Enterobacteriaceae. The record is from RNAcentral.
GGUUAAGCGACUAAGCGUACACGGUGGAUGCCCUGGCAGUCAGAGGCGAUGAAGGACGUGCUAAUCUGCGAUAAGCGUCGGUAAGGUGAUAUGAACCGUUAUAACCGGCGAUUUCCGAAUGGGGAAACCCAGUGUGUUUCGACACACUAUCAUUAACUGAAUCCAUAGGUUAAUGAGGCGAACCGGGGGAACUGAAACAUCUAAGUACCCCGAGGAAAAGAAAUCAACCGAGAUUCCCCCAGUAGCGGCGAGCGAACGGGGAGGAGCCCAGAGCCUGAAUCAGUGUGUGUGUUAGUGGAAGCGUCUGGAAAGGCGCGCGAUACAGGGUGACAGCCCCGUACACAAAAAUGCACAUGCUGUGAGCUCGAUGAGUAGGGCGGGACACGUGGUAUCCUGUCUGAAUAUGGGGGGACCAUCCUCCAAGGCUAAAUACUCCUGACUGACCGAUAGUGAACCAGUACCGUGAGGGAAAGGCGAAAAGAACCCCGGCGAGGGGAGUGAAAAAGAACCUGAAACCGUGUACGUACAAGCAGUGGGAGCACGCUUAGGCGUGUGACUGCGUACCUUUUGUAUAAUGGGUCAGCGACUUAUAUUCUGUAGCAAGGUUAACCGAAUAGGGGAGCCGAAGGGAAACCGAGUCUUAACUGGGCGUUAAGUUGCAGGGUAUAGACCCGAAACCCGGUGAUCUAGCCAUGGGCAGGUUGAAGGUUGGGUAACACUAACUGGAGGACCGAACCGACUAAUGUUGAAAAAUUAGCGGAUGACUUGUGGCUGGGGGUGAAAGGCCAAUCAAACCGGGAGAUAGCUGGUUCUCCCCGAAAGCUAUUUAGGUAGCGCCUCGUGAAUUCAUCUCCGGGGGUAGAGCACUGUUUCGGCAAGGGGGUCAUCCCGACUUACCAACCCGAUGCAAACUGCGAAUACCGGAGAAUGUUAUCACGGGAGACACACGGCGGGUGCUAACGUCCGUCGUGAAGAGGGAAACAACCCAGACCGCCAGCUAAGGUCCCAAAGUCAUGGUUAAGUGGGAAACGAUGUGGGAAGGCCCAGACAGCCAGGAUGUUGGCUUAGAAGCAGCCAUCAUUUAAAGAAAGCGUAAUAGCUCACUGGUCGAGUCGGCCUGCGCGGAAGAUGUAACGGGGCUAAACCAUGCACCGAAGCUGCGGCAGCGACACUAUGUGUUGUUGGGUAGGGGAGCGUUCUGUAAGCCUGUGAAGGUGUGCUGUGAGGCAUGCUGGAGGUAUCAGAAGUGCGAAUGCUGACAUAAGUAACGAUAAAGCGGGUGAAAAGCCCGCUCGCCGGAAGACCAAGGGUUCCUGUCCAACGUUAAUCGGGGCAGGGUGAGUCGACCCCUAAGGCGAGGCCGAAAGGCGUAGUCGAUGGGAAACAGGUUAAUAUUCCUGUACUUGGUGUUACUGCGAAGGGGGGACGGAGAAGGCUAUGUUGGCCGGGCGACGGUUGUCCCGGUUUAAGCGUGUAGGCUGGUUUUCCAGGCAAAUCCGGAAAAUCAAGGCUGAGGCGUGAUGACGAGGCACUACGGUGCUGAAGCAACAAAUGCCCUGCUUCCAGGAAAAGCCUCUAAGCAUCAGGUAACAUCAAAUCGUACCCCAAACCGACACAGGUGGUCAGGUAGAGAAUACCAAGGCGCUUGAGAGAACUCGGGUGAAGGAACUAGGCAAAAUGGUGCCGUAACUUCGGGAGAAGGCACGCUGAUAUGUAGGUGAAGUCCCUUGCGGAUGGAGCUGAAAUCAGUCGAAGAUACCAGCUGGCUGCAACUGUUUAUUAAAAACACAGCACUGUGCAAACACGAAAGUGGACGUAUACGGUGUGACGCCUGCCCGGUGCCGGAAGGUUAAUUGAUGGGGUCAGCGCAAGCGAAGCUCUUGAUCGAAGCCCCGGUAAACGGCGGCCGUAACUAUAACGGUCCUAAGGUAGCGAAAUUCCUUGUCGGGUAAGUUCCGACCUGCACGAAUGGCGUAAUGAUGGCCAGGCUGUCUCCACCCGAGACUCAGUGAAAUUGAACUCGCUGUGAAGAUGCAGUGUACCCGCGGCAAGACGGAAAGACCCCGUGAACCUUUACUAUAGCUUGACACUGAACAUUGAGCCUUGAUGUGUAGGAUAGGUGGGAGGCUUUGAAGUGUGGACGCCAGUCUGCAUGGAGCCGACCUUGAAAUACCACCCUUUAAUGUUUGAUGUUCUAACGUGGACCCGUGAUCCGGGUUGCGGACAGUGUCUGGUGGGUAGUUUGACUGGGGCGGUCUCCUCCUAAAGAGUAACGGAGGAGCACGAAGGUUGGCUAAUCCUGGUCGGACAUCAGGAGGUUAGUGCAAUGGCAUAAGCCAGCUUGACUGCGAGCGUGACGGCGCGAGCAGGUGCGAAAGCAGGUCAUAGUGAUCCGGUGGUUCUGAAUGGAAGGGCCAUCGCUCAACGGAUAAAAGGUACUCCGGGGAUAACAGGCUGAUACCGCCCAAGAGUUCAUAUCGACGGCGGUGUUUGGCACCUCGAUGUCGGCUCAUCACAUCCUGGGGCUGAAGUAGGUCCCAAGGGUAUGGCUGUUCGCCAUUUAAAGUGGUACGCGAGCUGGGUUUAGAACGUCGUGAGACAGUUCGGUCCCUAUCUGCCGUGGGCGCUGGAGAACUGAGGGGGGCUGCUCCUAGUACGAGAGGACCGGAGUGGACGCAUCACUGGUGUUCGGGUUGUCAUGCCAAUGGCACUGCCCGGUAGCUAAAUGCGGAAGAGAUAAGUGCUGAAAGCAUCUAAGCACGAAACUUGCCCCGAGAUGAGUUCUCCCUGACUCCUUGAGAGUCCUGAAGGAACGUUGAAGACGACGACGUUGAUAGGCCGGGUGUGUAAGCGCAGCGAUGCGUUGAGCUAACCGGUACUAAUGAACCGUGAGGCUUAACCUU